Molecule: ribosomal RNA, 301 nt
Filed under: uncultured bacterium
Lineage: Bacteria
Description: partial 16S ribosomal RNA
Rfam family: Bacterial small subunit ribosomal RNA
Source: RNAcentral
CAGUAGCCGCGGGAAUACGUAGGGUGCGAGCGUUAAUCGGAAUUACUGGGCGUAAAGCGUGCGCAGGCGGUUGUGUAAGACAGGUGUGAAAUCCCCGGGCUAACCUGGGAACUGCGCUUGUGACUGCACAGCUAGAGUAUGGCAGAGGGGGGUGGAAUUCCACGUGUAGCAGUGAAAUGCGUAGAGAUGUGGAGGAACACCGAUGCGAAGGCAAUCCCCUGGGCCUGCACUGACGCUCAUGCACGAAAGCGUGGGGAGCAAACAGGAUUAGAUACCCGAGUAGUCCCUGUCUCUUAUACAC